Molecule: ribosomal RNA, 497 nt
Filed under: uncultured bacterium
Lineage: Bacteria
Description: partial 16S ribosomal RNA
Rfam family: Bacterial small subunit ribosomal RNA
Source: RNAcentral
GAUGAACGCUGGCGGCGUGCCUAAUACAUGCAAGUCGAGCGAACAGACGAGGAGCUUGCUCCUCUGACGUUAGCGGCGGACGGGUGAGUAACACGUGGAUAACCUACCUAUAAGACUGGGAUAACUUCGGGAAACCGGAGCUAAUACCGGAUAAUAUAUUGAACCGCUUGGUUCAAUAGUGAAAGACGGUUUUGCUGUCACUUAUAGAUGGAUCCGCGCCGCAUUAGCUAGUUGGUAAGGUAACGGCUUACCAAGGCAACGAUGCGUAGCCGACCUGAGAGGGUGAUCGGCCACACUGGAACUGAGACACGGUCCAGACUCCUACGGGAGGCAGCAGUAGGGAAUCUUCCGCAAUGGGCGAAAGCCUGACGGAGCAACGCCGCGUGAGUGAUGAAGGUCUUCGGAUCGUAAAACUCUGUUAUUAGGGAAGAACAAAUGUGUAAGUAACUAUGCACGUCUUGACGGUACCUAAUCAGAAAGCCACGGCCAACUACGUG